RNAcentral lists this ribosomal RNA (541 nucleotides) under uncultured bacterium. Its description in RNAcentral is "partial 16S ribosomal RNA". It matches the Rfam family "Bacterial small subunit ribosomal RNA", at positions 355 to 885 of the family's 1533-position model. The record is from RNAcentral.
UGGGGAAUAUUGCACAAUGGGCGCAAGCCUGAUGCAGCCAUGCCGCGUGUGUGAAGAAGGCCUUCGGGUUGUAAAGCACUUUCAGCGAGGAGGAAGGUGGUGAGCUUAAUACGCUCAUCAAUUGACAUUACUCGCAGAAGAAGCACCGGCUAACUCCGUGCCAGCAGCCGCGGUAAUACGGAGGGUGCAAGCGUUAAUCGGAAUUACUGGGCGUAAAGCGCACGCAGGCGGUUUGUUAAGUCAGAUGUGAAAUCCCCGGGCUCAACCUGGGAACUGCAUUUGAAACUGGCAAGCUAGAGUCUCGUAGAGGGGGGUAGAAUUCCAGGUGUAGCGGUGAAAUGCGUAGAGAUCUGGAGGAAUACCGGUGGCGAAGGCGGCCCCCUGGACGAAGACUGACGCUCAGGUGCGAAAGCGUGGGGCAGCAAACAGGAUUAGAUACCCUGGUAGUCCACGCUGUAAACGAUGUCGAUUUUGGAGGUUGUGCCCUUGAGGCGUGGCUUCCGGAGCUAACGCGUUAAAGUCGACCGCCUGGGGAGUACGG